Molecule: long non-coding RNA, 637 nt
Organism: Canis lupus familiaris (dog)
Lineage: Eukaryota; Metazoa; Chordata; Mammalia; Carnivora; Canidae
Exons: 2
Source: RefSeq, a predicted model, not a curated record
AGCCGCCCUGGCACGGCACCUGCUUUCCCCGCUCCCCCAGCCCGCUGCCCCGCGGCCUCCGACCGGGUCGCGCCCCUCCGUUCUUCCCCCUGCCCCUACGUUUCCAGAAGCCUCGCGCCCCUGGCCCCCAGCUCCCACGUCCCACCUCCCCUCCCCGCGGAACCUCAGACAAAAACAAGAAGCAACGAGUUGGCCAGAACUGCAAGAGAAUUGAUGCAUUUUCCAGUCUUCCUCUCCUUUCUCAGGGAGAUCAUAGACACCUGCCCCCAGCACAGCCGGCCGGCUCGCCUUAGCACCCCUCGCUGCAAAGUCUCUGGGAAAAUGAGUUUUCAUCCUCUACAGCGGGAGGCGGAGGAAGAAGAGGUGAGAGUUCUCACUGGAGGUGGCACUGACCAGUCUGCACGAACAAAUCUUCCCUCACAACCCUUACCUUCAAUGAGUUUCCCCCAUGUAUCUACCUUCCCACAAUGUAUGACUUCUGGAAGCCCAACCCCCUUUUUCUUUGUUAUCCCUUGUCCACAACGUAUCACCCUGUGUUAAAAUGGCUUAUAAGUUUUCAAGCUUAAAUGUUUCUUUGGGCUUUCAUGUUUUCUGUGAGGCCCCGAGUGCAUGCAUAAUAAAUCUUUUCUCCUGUUAA